UGGCAAGGAGGGCUGAGUGCAUGCCAUGGAAGGAUCCAAUCCCGGACCCCACGUGGUUUUAGUCAUCGUGUUUCCUGAGUCUCCUCUGUGCUGGCAGUUCCUCAGUCCCUCCUUGUCUUUGAUGACACUUGAAGAAUUCUGAUCAGAUUGAAAAGCAGAGCCAUGGGCAGCAGCAGAACUGCAGGGAGACAAGGAUUCCAGGUGCUUGUGGGGUGGAGGGAGGCAGCCUGGGAACAGAUUCGGCUCCAAAAGGCCA
This is a long non-coding RNA of Lemur catta (Ring-tailed lemur), 256 nucleotides long. RefSeq lists it as uncharacterized. The record is from RefSeq and is a predicted model, not a curated record. Lineage: Eukaryota; Metazoa; Chordata; Mammalia; Primates; Lemuridae. The transcript is spliced from 3 exons.